UGGAGCCGUGGAUCGCUUCCCUCCAGGCUGCAGGGGACACGACCUGCUCGUUUUCUUCUCUUGAGCUAGACUAAAGCUGUAACCUUUAAUAGCAGAAUAAACAGCUAUCGGAGAAACUUUCAAUGGGAAGAUAUACUUGCUUCUCAUAAUGUUUUAACAGGUACCACGCUUAACUCUUCCUGCUGCCUUUGAGAAUCUGCUCCCUGGGCUUGGCGUGCUUCCCUUUAUCUGAGCGAAAAUAGGUUUAAAGGGAAGGGGCAACGCUGAUGAGGAAAGUCCCCCAGGAGCACCUGCCAAGCAUUACCUCUCAUUUCAAGCCUGACUGUUCCUGCUGAGAAAGUCUGAUGGAGCUUCGAGUCUGGGUCAAGGGACAGAAAUUGCUGGCUGAGAAUCUGAGGCCUGAACCCAAAAAAAACAUGUCUCAAGAAGCAGCGAAAGCUCGGUGCUGUGAGCCUACUGUCUUCCAGAUGCAAUGUCCACCAUCCCGACUCCUCCCGGCGGAGCCAGCGCUGUCCCUGGUGGGCGUGUUUGCUGCAUCAAAGCCCUGGUUAGUGCUGCAAGCG
Cuculus canorus (common cuckoo) is the source of this 563-nucleotide long non-coding RNA. RefSeq lists it as uncharacterized. Lineage: Eukaryota; Metazoa; Chordata; Aves; Cuculiformes; Cuculidae. The record is from RefSeq and is a predicted model, not a curated record. The transcript is spliced from 4 exons.